CCUACGGGUGGCAGCAGUCGAGAAUCAUUCACAAUGGGGGAAACCCUGAUGGUGCGACGCCGCGUGGGGGAAUGAAGGUCUUCGGAUUGUAAACCCCUGUCAUGUGGGAGCAAAUUAAAAAGAUAGUACCACAAGAGGAAGAGACGGCUAACUCUGUGCCAGCAGCCGCGGUAAUACAGAGGUCUCAAGCGUUGUUCGGAAGCACUGGGCGUAAAGGGUGCGUAGGCUGUAUCGUAAGUCGUGUGUGAAAGGCGAGGGCUCAACCCGCGGAAGGCACAUGAUACUGCGAGGCUAGAGUAAAGGAGAGGGAAGCGGAAUUCUCGGAGUAGCAGUGAAAUGCGUAGAUAUCGAGAGGAACACUCGUGGCGAAGGCGGGUUCCUGGACAUUAACUGACGCUGAGGCACGAAGGCCAGGGGAGCGAAAGGGAUUAGAUACCCCGGUAGUC
Molecule: ribosomal RNA, 446 nt
Filed under: uncultured bacterium
Lineage: Bacteria
Description: partial 16S ribosomal RNA
Rfam family: Bacterial small subunit ribosomal RNA
Source: RNAcentral